RNAcentral lists this ribosomal RNA (216 nucleotides) under Glomeromycotina sp. Its description in RNAcentral is "partial small subunit ribosomal RNA". The stretch from base 40 to 216 matches the Rfam family "Eukaryotic small subunit ribosomal RNA", at positions 686 to 864 of the family's 1831-position model. Lineage: Eukaryota; Fungi; Glomeromycota. The record is from RNAcentral.
GGGUCAGUAGGUUGGUCGUGCCACCGGUACGUACUGGUCUCACUGAUUCCUCCUUCCUGAAGAACUGUAAUGUCAUUAAUUUGGUGUUGCGGGGAAACAGGACUGUUACUUUGAAAAAAUUAGAGUGUUUAAAGCAAGCUAACGCUUGAAUACAUUGGCAUGGAAUAAUGAAAUAGGACGAUCGAUCCUAUUUUGUUGGUUUCUAGGAUUGACGUA